GUUGAAUGUGUCUGUUUAGAAACAUCCUGAAGUCCAGCAGCGCAAAGACUAUGAAGAUGAUAAAGGAAACCCACCUGAGGACUGCUGUAGUGACAAGUGUUACCGUUGCUGUCCAUGCCUGGACAUAGACACAUCCCAGGGUGGAGGAAGGGUCUGGUCCAACUUCAGGAGAGCAUGUUGCUCCAUCAUUCAACACAAAUACUUUGAGUACUUCGUCAUGUUCAUCCUCCUGCUGAGCAGUGCAGCUAUGAUGUUUGAGGACAUUUACCUGCAUCAGCGUCCGGUCUUAAAGGAGAUCCUGUUGAGAGCAGACCAGGUGUUUACCCUCCUGUUCCUGAUAGAGAUGCUUCUCAAGAUCAUCGCCUUCGGACUCAAGAAAUACUUCACCGACGCCUGGUGCUGGCUCGACUUCCUCAUCUUA
Non-coding RNA from Epinephelus lanceolatus (giant grouper), 421 nucleotides. The record is from RefSeq and is a predicted model, not a curated record. Lineage: Eukaryota; Metazoa; Chordata; Actinopteri; Perciformes; Serranidae.